ACAUCGCCACCUGGCGAGUAGAGACGCAUUCGGAAUACAGCAGAAAAUCCAUCAACACGACUCAAAUAUUCAGACCUAAAUCGUAUUACCGAGCAAUACUAAUUAUCAUCCUGACCUAUAUUGUAGUUUGUCCUGCUCUCCACAGACAUUACAGUCUUUUAAAAUAGUGUGUGGCAGUCUGAACGAACAGGAUACAGCAGUCCAAGGUGGACGCCUACUGCAUGCAAAGACUGGGUAUAACAAUACUGAAGAAAAAAAAGUCAACCAGAAAGAAGACUGCAAAGGUCAAAAAAGUAUUCUCUGUUGGGAAAAAAUGACAGCAAAAAAGGAGAAAGGAGCAUCUCCACAGAGAAGCAGCAUCAGUCAACGCUGAUCGAUCAGAGGCAGAAUGUACGGAAAUAAGAGAAACAACCACCCCCACGUGACGGCGGAGUUCUGGGUGGGCGGAUCCCUCACGCCACGAGUGCUCUCCCUCCCCAAGGGUGGACAGUCCACUUCAAUCUCCGGGCCAAAAGGACAGCCUUGCCCUCUCAGUCCACGAACCUCUGGCAGGCCUUCUUCCAGCGACAGGCCGUGCACCACAUAUCCCGGUUCUCCAUGCCAUACACCUUGCGGCAUUUCUUGCCUUCGCCUCGUGACUUCCUGUCAGGCGAAGUAGAGAAGUGAACCAGCGGGCACCACACAUGCACACGUCCGUAUCGCACGGAAGACACCAGCAGGUCACGAGAUGUAUGGAAGGUGCCAUUGCAGGAAAGGGCAGUACCUGAGGAGGCCUGUUGUCCGUGGGGGAGACGCGAGGAUGGCAGCAGCUGGGGGGCGCUGCUCCGUGGAGCCCUUGGUCUGACUAUGAGGGGGAGAUGCCUGCUGGAGAGGCCAGAACGCGCACACACACACACACACACACACACACACACACACACACACACACACACA
Long non-coding RNA from Brienomyrus brachyistius, 933 nucleotides. RefSeq lists it as uncharacterized. The record is from RefSeq and is a predicted model, not a curated record. The transcript is spliced from 2 exons. NCBI's taxonomy places the organism in Eukaryota, Metazoa, Chordata, Actinopteri, Osteoglossiformes, Mormyridae.